This 732-nucleotide ribosomal RNA is filed under the name uncultured endophytic bacterium. RNAcentral's name for it is "bacterial SSU rRNA". It matches the Rfam family "Bacterial small subunit ribosomal RNA", at positions 770 to 1502 of the family's 1533-position model. The record is from RNAcentral.
UAACAGGAUUAGAUACCCUGGUAGUCCACGCCGUAAACGAUGUCGACUUGGAGGUUGUUCCCUUGAGGAGUGGCUUCCGGAGCUAACGCGUUAAGUCGACCGCCUGGGGAGUACGGCCGCAAGGUUAAAACUCAAAUGAAUUGACGGGGGCCCGCACAAGCGGUGGAGCAUGUGGUUUAAUUCGAUGCAACGCGAAGAACCUUACCUACUCUUGACAUCCAGAGAACUUAGCAGAGAUGCUUUGGUGCCUUCGGGAACUCUGAGACAGGUGCUGCAUGGCUGUCGUCAGCUCGUGUUGUGAAAUGUUGGGUUAAGUCCCGCAACGAGCGCAACCCUUAUCCUUUGUUGCCAGCGAUUCGGUCGGGAACUCAAAGGAGACUGCCGGUGAUAAACCGGAGGAAGGUGGGGAUGACGUCAAGUCAUCAUGGCCCUUACGAGUAGGGCUACACACGUGCUACAAUGGCGCAUACAAAGAGAAGCGACCUCGCGAGAGCAAGCGGACCUCAUAAAGUGCGUCGUAGUCCGGAUCGGAGUCUGCAACUCGACUCCGUGAAGUCGGAAUCGCUAGUAAUCGUGGAUCAGAAUGCCACGGUGAAUACGUUCCCGGGCCUUGUACACACCGCCCGUCACACCAUGGGAGUGGGUUGCAAAAGAAGUAGGUAGCUUAACCUUCGGGAGGGCGCUUACCACUUUGUGAUUCAUGACUGGGGUGAAGUCGUAACAAGGUAACCA